AUUGAACGCUGGCGGCAGGCCUAACACAUGCAAGUCGAGCGGAUGAAGGGAGCUGCUCCUGGAUUCAGCGGCGGACGGGUGAGUAAUGCCUAGGAAUCUGCCUGAUAGUGGGGGAUAAACGUCCGGAAACGGGCGCUAAUACCGCAUACGUCCUGAGGGAGAAAGUGGGGAUCUUCGGACCUCACGCUAUCAGAUGAGCCUAGGUCGGAUUAGCUAGUUGGUGGGGGUAAAGGCCUACCAAGGCGACGAUCCGUAACUGGUCUGAGAGGAUGAUCAGUCACACUGGAACUGAGACACGGUCCAGACUCCUACGGGAGGCAGCAGUGGGGAAUAUUGGACAAUGGCGAAAGCCUGAUCCAGCCAUGCCGCGUGUGUGAAGAAGGUCUUCGGAUUGUAAAGCACUUUAAGUUGGAGGAAGGGCAGUAAGUUAAUACCUUGCUGUUUUGACGUUACCAACAGAAUAAGCACCGGCUAACUUCGUGCCAGCAGCCGCGGUAAUACGAAGGGUGCAAGCG
RNAcentral lists this ribosomal RNA (515 nucleotides) under uncultured Pseudomonas sp. Its description in RNAcentral is "bacterial SSU rRNA". It matches the Rfam family "Bacterial small subunit ribosomal RNA", at positions 30 to 540 of the family's 1533-position model. Lineage: Bacteria; Pseudomonadati; Pseudomonadota; Gammaproteobacteria; Pseudomonadales; Pseudomonadaceae. The record is from RNAcentral.